Molecule: long non-coding RNA, 537 nt
Organism: Girardinichthys multiradiatus
Lineage: Eukaryota; Metazoa; Chordata; Actinopteri; Cyprinodontiformes; Goodeidae
Exons: 4
Source: RefSeq, a predicted model, not a curated record
AGGGUGUGACUGACAGGUGCUGCAGCACAGGUGUUCCUCAUCUGAGUGUAAUAGGCUGGGCUUUAUAUACAGCUGGAACCUGGAAGGGGGCAUCAGCUUGUUGUCUUAACCAGCAUGAUCUGAUUCUGUGGAGACAAUUUUGGAUUCCUGGUUUCUGUUUCUUCGUGUCAUGUUCAGACGAGCACCUGAACCCAGGCCCUGUUGAUCCAGCCAUGGAUCUUCGUUCCAUUCUAACCUACAGCCCAGCUGCUCAAGAGCCUACUCAUGGGGACAUCUGACUCUCGCUCACCUGCCUGUCCACUCUCCAACACUGCCUACCUGAAAACAGCGGAGCUACCCAAGAAACACACAGCGAGAACUAAAGAAUCUCACCACUCCAUUCCUCACUCUCUGCCAACCUCAGCCACCGUGGAAAAGACUUUUUCUCCCCAACAAGUCUCUAGUAUCAUAAUCUUGGCAAUCCUGAUCCCUCAGGCAGAUCCAGUCCAGGCUGUGAUUAAUUUCAACCCGUGUUUUCUAAAUAAACUGUUAAAACUC